GGGGAUAACUAAUCGAAAGAUUAGCUAAUACCGCAUAUAUUCUGAGGAAGAAAGCAGGGGACCAUUUGGCCUUGCGCUGUUUGAGCGGCCGAUAUCUGAUUAGCUGGUUGGUGGGGUAAAGGCCUACCAAGGCGACGAUCAGUAGCGGGUCUGAGAGGAUGAUCCGCCACACUGGGACUGAGACACGGCCCAGACUCCUACGGGAGGCAGCAGUGGGGAAUUUUGGACAAUGGGCGCAAGCCUGAUCCAGCCAUGCCGCGUGUCUGAAGAAGGCCUUCGGGUUGUAAAGGACUUUUGUCAGGGAAGAAAAGGGCGGGGCUAAUACCCCUGUCUGAUGACGGUACCUGAAGAAUAAGCACCGGCUAACUACGUGCCAGCAGCCGCGGUAAUACGUAGGGUGCGAGCGUUAAUCGGAAUUACUGGGCGUAAAGCGGGCGCAGACGGUUACUUAAGCAGGAUGUGAAAUCCCCGGGCUCAACCUGGGAACUGCGUUCUGAACUGGGUGACUAGAGUGUGUCAG
RNAcentral lists this ribosomal RNA (520 nucleotides) under uncultured bacterium. RNAcentral describes it as "bacterial SSU rRNA". It matches the Rfam family "Bacterial small subunit ribosomal RNA", at positions 139 to 654 of the family's 1533-position model. The record is from RNAcentral.